ACAACUUUCAACGGCGGAUCUCUUGGCUCGUGCAUCGAUGAAGAACGCAGCCAGCCGCGAUAAGUAGUGUGAAUUGCAGAAUUCAGUGAAUCAUCGAAUCGCAAAUGGCGCUCUCGGGUCCUCUCGGGAGCACGUCUGUCUGAGUGUCGG
RNAcentral lists this ribosomal RNA (150 nucleotides) under Zoanthus kuroshio. RNAcentral describes it as "5.8S ribosomal RNA". It matches the Rfam family "5.8S ribosomal RNA". From Rfam's summary of the family: 5.8S ribosomal RNA (5.8S rRNA) is a component of the large subunit of the eukaryotic ribosome. Lineage: Eukaryota; Metazoa; Cnidaria; Anthozoa; Zoantharia; Zoanthidae. The record is from RNAcentral.